This 404-nucleotide ribosomal RNA is filed under the name uncultured bacterium. RNAcentral describes it as "bacterial SSU rRNA". It matches the Rfam family "Bacterial small subunit ribosomal RNA", at positions 355 to 776 of the family's 1533-position model. The record is from RNAcentral.
UUAGGAAUUUUGGGCAAUGGGCGCAAGCCUGACCCAGCAACGCCGCGUGGGCGACGAAGCCCUUCGGGGUGUAAAGCCCUUUUCCACGGGACGAAUCUGACGGUACCGUGGGAAUAAGCCCCGGCUAACUACGUGCCAGCAGCCGCGGUAAUACGUAGGGGGCGAGCGUUGUCCGGAUUCAUUGGGCGUAAAGCGCGCGCAGGCGGUUGGCAGAGCCCGGCGUGAAAGCCCCCAGCUCAACUGGGGGAGGCCGUCGGAGACCUGUCGACUUGAGGCCGGUAGGGGAGAGCGGAAUUCCCGGUGUAGUGGUGGAAUGCGUAGAUAUCGGGAGGAACACCAGUGGCGAAGGCGGCUCUCUGGACCGGUACUGACGCUCAGGCGCGAAAGCGUGGGGAGCGAUCCGG